AGAGUUUGAUCCUGGCUCAGGACGAACGCUGGCGGCGUGCUUAACACAUGCAAGUCGAACGAUGAUGCCCAGCUUGCUGGGUGGAUUAGUGGCGAACGGGUGAGUAAUACGUGAGUAACCUGCCCUUGACUCUGGGAUAAGCCUGGGAAACUGGGUCUAAUACUGGAUACUACCGGCCAUCGCAUGGUGGUGGGUGGAAAGGGUUUUACUGGUUUUGGAUGGGCUCACGGCCUAUCAGCUUGUUGGUGGGGUAAUGGCUCACCAAGGCGACGACGGGUAGCCGGCCUGAGAGGGUGACCGGCCACACUGGGACUGAGACACGGCCCAGACUCCUACGGGAGGCAGCAGUGGGGAAUAUUGCACAAUGGGCGGAAGCCUGAUGCAGCGACGCCGCGUGAGGGAUGACGGCCUUCGGGUUGUAAACCUCUUUCAGUAGGGAAGAAGCGAGAGUGACGGUACCUGCAGAAGAAGCGCCGGCUAACUACGUGCCAGCAGCCGCGGUAAUACGUAGGGCGCAAGCGUUGUCCGGAAUUAUUGGGCGUAAAGAGCUCGUAGGCGGUUUGUCGCGUCUGCUGUGAAAGCCCGGGGCUCAACCCCGGGUCUGCAGUGGGUACGGGCAGACUAGAGUGCAGUAGGGGAGACUGGAAUUCCUGGUGUAGCGGUGAAAUGCGCAGAUAUCAGGAGGAACACCGAUGGCGAAGGCAGGUCUCUGGGCUGUUACUGACGCUGAGGAGCGAAAGCAUGGGGAGCGAACAGGAUUAGAUACCCUGGUAGUCCAUGCCGUAAACGUUGGGCACUAGGUGUGGGGGACAUUCCACGUUUUCCGCGCCGUAGCUAACGCAUUAAGUGCCCCGCCUGGGGAGUACGGCCGCAAGGCUAAAACUCAAAGGAAUUGACGGGGGCCCGCACAAGCGGCGGAGCAUGCGGAUUAAUUCGAUGCAACGCGAAGAACCUUACCAAGGCUUGACAUUCACCGGACCGCCCCAGAGAUGGGGUUUCCCUUCGGGGCUGGUGGACAGGUGGUGCAUGGUUGUCGUCAGCUCGUGUCGUGAGAUGUUGGGUUAAGUCCCGCAACGAGCGCAACCCUCGUUCUAUGUUGCCAGCACGUGAUGGUGGGGACUCAUAGGAGACUGCCGGGGUCAACUCGGAGGAAGGUGGGGAUGACGUCAAAUCAUCAUGCCCCUUAUGUCUUGGGCUUCACGCAUGCUACAAUGGCCGGUACAAAGGGUUGCGAUACUGUGAGGUGGAGCUAAUCCCAAAAAGCCGGUCUCAGUUCGGAUUGAGGUCUGCAACUCGACCUCAUGAAGUCGGAGUCGCUAGUAAUCGCAGAUCAGCAACGCUGCGGUGAAUACGUUCCCGGGCCUUGUACACACCGCCCGUCAAGUCACGAAAGUUGGUAACACCCGAAGCCGGUGGCCUAACCCCUUGUGGGAGGGAGCCGUCGAAGGUGGGACUGGCGAUUGGGACUAAGUCGUAACAAGGUA
This 1484-nucleotide ribosomal RNA is filed under the name uncultured bacterium. Its description in RNAcentral is "bacterial SSU rRNA". It matches the Rfam family "Bacterial small subunit ribosomal RNA". The record is from RNAcentral.